This 498-nucleotide ribosomal RNA is filed under the name uncultured bacterium. RNAcentral describes it as "partial 16S ribosomal RNA". It matches the Rfam family "Bacterial small subunit ribosomal RNA", at positions 28 to 507 of the family's 1533-position model. The record is from RNAcentral.
GAUGAACGCUGGCGGCGUGCCUAAUACAUGCAAGUCGAGCGAACUUUUGGUAGUUUGCUCCUACACGUUAGCGGCGGACGGGUGAGUAACACGUGGGUAAUCUGCCUGUAAUACUGGUAUAACUUCGGGACACCGUAUCUUAUACCGGAUAACAUUUAAUUCCACAUGUCCUUCAAUUAAAAGUUGGCUUUUAGCUACCACUUACAGCUGUACCCGCGUCGCAUUAGCUAGUUGGUGAGGUAACGGCUCACCAAGGCGAGGAUGCGUAGCCGACCUGAGAGGGGGAUCGGCCACACUGGGACGGAGACACGGCCCAGACGGCUACGGGAGGCAGCAGUAGGGAAUCUGCCGGAAGGGGCGAAAGACUGACGGAGAAACGCCGAGUGAGGGAAGAAGGACGUCGGGUCGGAAAGCACUGUUGUUAGGGAAGAAAAAGUAUCGUUCGAAUAGGGAGGUACCUUGACGGUACCUAACCAGAAAGCAACGGCUAACUACGUG